This 520-nucleotide ribosomal RNA is filed under the name uncultured bacterium. RNAcentral describes it as "bacterial SSU rRNA". It matches the Rfam family "Bacterial small subunit ribosomal RNA", at positions 120 to 674 of the family's 1533-position model. The record is from RNAcentral.
GGGAAUCUACCUUUUGCUACGGAAUAACUCAGGGAAACUUGUGCUAAUACCGUAUGUGCCCUUCGGGGGAAAGAUUUAUCGGCAAAGGAUGAGCCCGCGUUGGAUUAGCUAGUUGGUGGGGUAAAGGCCUACCAAGGCGACGAUCCAUAGCUGGUCUGAGAGGAUGAUCAGCCACACUGGGACUGAGACACGGCCCAGACUCCUACGGGAGGCAGCAGUGGGGAAUAUUGGACAAUGGGCGCAAGCCUGAUCCAGCCAUGCCGCGUGAGUGAUGACGGUCUUAGGAUUGUAAAGCUCUUUCACCGGUGAAGAUAAUGACGGUAACCGGAGAAGAAGCCCCGGCUAACUUCGUGCCAGCAGCCGCGGUAAUACGAAGGGGGCUAGCGUUGUUCGGAUUUACUGGGCGUAAAGCGCACGUAGGCGGACUUUUAAGUCAGGGGUGAAAUCCCGGGGCUCAACCCCGGAACUGCCUUUGAUACUGGAAGUCUUGAGUAUGGAAGAGGUGAGUGGAAUUCCGAGU